GAGUUUCCGAAGAUCGGAUCAAAAGAUCAGUUAGCUGAUAUUCUCACCAAAGUAGUUUUAAACCAAGUGUUUUCAAAAAUUUUAGACAUGUUGGGCAUGUGUGACAUCUAUGCGCCAACUUGAGAGGGUGUGAUGAGAUUAGAUUAAGAUUUCUUGUAAUUAUCUUUCCAAUCUUAGAAAUUGCUAAGUGUGCACAAAUCAUAGAUUGAUAAUAUUACCUAAUUGUAGAAGAUUAUGUAGCCAAAUUACAUGAAACUAAUUGAAA
This 265-nucleotide long non-coding RNA is filed under the name Olea europaea (common olive). Its description in RNAcentral is "long non-coding RNA (OEUR_LNC007415)". Lineage: Eukaryota; Viridiplantae; Streptophyta; Magnoliopsida; Lamiales; Oleaceae. The record is from RNAcentral.